Molecule: transfer RNA, 72 nt
Filed under: Marmota marmota marmota (Alpine marmot)
Lineage: Eukaryota; Metazoa; Chordata; Mammalia; Rodentia; Sciuridae
Also listed under: 1 other name
Rfam family: tRNA
About the family: Transfer RNA (tRNA) molecules are approximately 80 nucleotides in length.
Source: Rfam by way of RNAcentral
GGGGUUGUAGCUUAGCAGUACAGGGCUCAUCUAGCACGUGUGAGGCCCUGGGUUCAAUCCUCAGCACCUCUU